CCCAGACUCCUACGGGAGGCAGCAGUGAGGAAUAUUGGUCAAUGGGCGCGAGCCUGAACCAGCCAAGUCGCGUGAGGGAAGACGGUCCUAUGGAUUGUAAACCUCUUUUGUCGGGGAGCAAAAGACGCCACGCGUGGCGUUCCGAGAGUACCCGAAGAAAAAGCAUCGGCUAACUCCGUGCCAGCAGCCGCGGUAAUACGGAGGAUGCGAGCGUUAUCCGGAUUUAUUGGGUUUAAAGGGUGCGCAGGCGGAGGAUCAGGUCGGGGGUAAAAUUGAGGGGCUCAACCUCUGCGAGCCGUUGAAACUGGUUUUCUUGAGUGAGCGAGAAGUAUGCGGAAUGCGUGGUGUAGCGGUGAAAUGCAUAGAUAUCACGCAGAACUCCGAUUGCGAAGGCAGCAUACCGGCGCUCAACUGACGCUGAAGCACGAAGGCGUGGGUAUCGAACAGGAUUAGAUACCCGUGUAA
Molecule: ribosomal RNA, 465 nt
Filed under: uncultured bacterium
Lineage: Bacteria
Description: bacterial SSU rRNA
Rfam family: Bacterial small subunit ribosomal RNA
Source: RNAcentral